This 29-nucleotide non-coding RNA is filed under the name Mus musculus (house mouse). Lineage: Eukaryota; Metazoa; Chordata; Mammalia; Rodentia; Muridae. The record is from RNAcentral.
UGUCAAGGAAGCCUAGUGUCACACUGAUC